RNAcentral lists this ribosomal RNA (290 nucleotides) under Streptomyces xiamenensis. Its description in RNAcentral is "partial 16S ribosomal RNA". It matches the Rfam family "Bacterial small subunit ribosomal RNA", at positions 278 to 583 of the family's 1533-position model. Lineage: Bacteria; Bacillati; Actinomycetota; Actinomycetes; Kitasatosporales; Streptomycetaceae. The record is from RNAcentral.
GACAGGUAGCAGACCUGAGAGGGUGACCGGCCACACUGGGACUGAGACACGGCCCAGAUUCUUACGGGAGGCAGCAGUGGGGAAUAUUGCACAAUGGGCGAAAGCCUGAUGCAGCGACGCCGCGUGAGGGAUGACGGCCUUCGGGUUGUAAACAUCCUUCAACAAGGAAGAAGCUUAACUCCCGCUACCUGCAAAAGAAGCUUCGGCUAACUACGUUCCAGCAGCCCCGGUAACUCUUUGGUCCAAGCGUUUUCCGAAACCUUGGCCGUAUAGAGCAUUACGCGGUGUGU